UCUGAGGGUGGGAGACAGAGGUCCCGUCAGUGCUUCGUCAUCUCCACCCUUCUGUGGCCUUAAGAAACUGGUUCUUGUCUCCCUAGCAUUUUACAGGCCUCUUUGUUCCUGUCUCUAGCCAUUUUUACCUUUUGUUUGUGGGGGAGAAACCAGGGGCAGCCCCUCUCAUAUCCCUCAGGCCCCUGGCUGUUAUGAGGAGUCUUGGAAUCCCACUGUGGCUGUGCCCUGGACUGGCCUGCAGCCUCCACUCCUGUGGGUCCCUUUGGGCAAGUGACAAAGGGCGCUUGGUGCCCCAAACGUGCUGAGGGCCAAACAGGGCAGUAGGGCCACCCCCUCCGCCCUGAGAGCUCACUUCCUGCCAUGGAAGGGAAAAGAGGACGGAUUCUGGGCCUGUGGAGGCCUGGGACCCCCCUGCCGACCUCCUGCGUCGCAGGGCUGACUGCUGUGGAGGGAGGUUUACCUGAGGCUCUGAACACCUUUGGCUGCUCAGAACCUCUCUGGAGACAGAGGCUGCCAAAGAGGAUACCGCAGACGAGAAACAGCAGCAGAAUCAACCAGAGCCCCGGGGACGUGGGCGAGAGACAGAGCAGAGCAGACCACGGAGAGAGGAGGAAGAGCGGUGGGGAGAAAGGUGAAAGGAAAGUGACUAACUGUGCCCAAGACAGAGAAAAACAAAGCAGAAUUGUCCCAACUGGCCCCAGGCUUCUCUCUACUCCUGCCAACUUAACAGCCCUACCAUGUGGCCCCCACAGUAGUGUCCAGGAAGCAUGAGGAGUGCCCCAUCUACCCAGAAAAUAAAGUCCAGCUUCUGUGACUCUGUCCCAUUGUCACCCAGGCUCACUUCCCACCACUCUCUGCUCCUACAAGCCAGUGACAAGACUGGGUGAAAUGAUGGGCCCCACUCACCUGGGCGCCCUUCAUUAAGAGACGAGCUCGGGGGGCCCGGGGCUGUGCGCGGACGGAGCCGCCUCAGUAACGCGUACCGUUCCACAAAGUUCCGGUGAGAGACCCUGGAAGCCAAAAGGGGGAAGAAGAGAAUGAAGCGACUUCAUCCAUGGACACAGUGCUCAGGUACGACGGGAGUAAUUUAUUUAAUCUGCUCAACACCCAGGCCUGGUGCUGCCCUGGCUGCACUGCAUGGCCGAGGCUGUAGCUCUGGAGAGAUUACUCCAAGGGUCUGCUCUUUCUGGGCCCUUUCCUAGAGGGCUUGCUGCCUGCCUCCUUUGAAGGGGCACGCACCCCCCCUCCCCCACUAGACCACUCCUACCUCACACCCCCAGUGCUUGGCUGCGUCUCCACUGUCCUGACCCACAGCCUCCUCCACUUAUCCUGAUUUCUCUAUCCUCUUGACAUUGACAACCUUCUCUAAACAGCUGGUGACAUCUAAUAUCUGCCCUUCCUCUAAGUUUGGCUUCUGUCCACAACACUGCACCAAUGUGGCUCUUGUCACAGCCAUCAGCAUGCCACUCAAGUUACUGUUGCUAGUUUCCUGUCAUCCCCCUCUCGGAAUGUGAGCAUUCCUCAGGGCAUGGCCCUGACCCCUUCUAUCCUCGCUGAGGUUUCCUCCUUGUUUGUGGUGUUGAGACCCUCCAGUUCUUAGAUCUCUGCCGAGCCCGGGCCUGUCUCACAGCCAUUUCAAACCUGACUCUCCCACCCUGCAACCUAUGCCUUCCUCAAACCAUCUCGCCUCCAGGAAUUAUCCCCCAUCCACCCAUCUGCCUCAGAGAGAAGCCUGGAAGUUGACUUCCCUGCCUAAUACCCACCGUCAACCAGUCCACAGUCCUCUUUCUAUCACAAGCCGCACCAAUUUUACCCACUUCUCUCCAGUGUUCACUGCUGCCACCCUCAUCGGGGACGUCAUCUCACCUGUCCGCCUGCAACAGCCUCUCACUCCUCUCCUCUCCUCUCUCUGACCCUAUGUCCAAACUCCACGUGGCAGCCAUGGGAGCACAGCUCUCCCUCAGAAUGCCCAGCAGCUUCCAUAGCACCCAGGACAGACUGUGAAUCCCUCAGGCCUGGCACCCAUCCCUCCCUCCUCUCUUCUCAGUUCUCCAUGCUCCAGUCACUUAAGCACCUCUUAACCUGCCUAACCUGUCCCUAGUCUGGAAUGCUCUCCUCCCCAAAUCUUCCCAUAGGACCCCUCCUGGACCAGCCCAAGGAUACCCUUUCCCAUUAGUCUACCUAAUAACAUUUUUUUCUUCCCUAGCAUUAACUUUAUACUUUUUGUUCUUCCCCAAGAGGGCAGACUCAGACUUCCUUAUUCACUGGUAUAUACUAGAAACAGUGCUAGCACAAUAUCGUGCACAGAAAGUGAACGGGUAAAUGACAAGCACAGUCCCUUGAGUUGAGGUUGACACCUGUAGGCCUGCCCUUUCUCUUCAUCUCCACAUCUGGCUCUUGGCCGGGCAGGCUCUUGUUGGGCCCGAGUCCCGAGCUCUACCCUGACGUUGGUCCUGCCCCUGCAGUGCUGGGCCCACUCACCGGAUGGGGAAGCCGGCGGCACUGAUGUGGAUGGUCUCCACGAGGCCACAGGCCUCCAGCUGGCUCAGGACCUGCAGGGGUGGAGAGACCGCGUGGGGCCGGCAGGCCAGAGACCCUGCCAGCGUGGAGUGGACUGCAGGGCCUCCUGAGGGUCCACGGAUGGAGGUGUACACUCUGGGGCUGGGGCAGUGAGAAAUUAAGAAAUAUCUCCCUGCUAGAAGGCUCCCGGCAGCCCCAGGUCCCCUAUGUGGUGCAUGGCUUCUGGCCCAGCGGAGGCAGCUGCUGGCGGGGCUCUUACCAUCCCCGCAGUGCAGAUGCGCUCUGCCUCUUUUGCUUUGUUUUAUUUUUGGCUAGGCAAUUAAGUGAGUCACAGCUGCGGGGCAUGGGAGGUGGUUUUAUGUGAAGAGCCUCCUGGAACCUGCACCAUGGUCUUGACCACAGAACAGAGUGGUCCUGGCUAUAAGCCCUAAGGUCACAUCUACCAGUUGACUGGGAUACUCCAGCAUCGCCCAGUACUCACACCUCAUCCACAUCCUGUGGAGCCCGGUACCCUGAGCAAAGAACAAUUGCUGGCCCUUUUUAUGCAAAUUAAAAAAAAAACUAGAAUGUAAGGUGAGACAAACUUUCAGCUAAUUACAAGAGACAGCCAUUCUUCUGGGGCUCCAGUCUCAUCAGGGCAGAGCUCAGUGAGGAGAGAGCAAGAGGCACCUGAGCCCUCCUUCCUUCCUUAGGUCACUGCAGUGCAGACCACACAACCAUACAUGCCUGCCCUCCCAGCUCUGGGGAGACAAGCCCCCCUAAAGUCAGGCCCAGCCUGAGAGACGCCCUCUGGUCACUGCACUCGGAGCAGAUGUCCUGCCCUUCACCCCUCCAGGGCCUUUGCCAGAUAGGGCUCUCUGCGAAGCAGCUUUGUUUCAGUGUGAAUUACCUCCUCCCGGAGGAAGGUCUGUGCCUGGCCCUUGCUGUUGGGCUUGAUGCAGCGAAUGUAGUGGGGCGUGGUGCUGUGCAGAACCUGCAGGAGCUGCUCCAGGGAGGCCUGCAGAGGGGAGAGCACGUCAGUCAGGCAGAGGAUGGAGCUGCUGGGGGCAUCAGCUGGGCCUGGUUAGAGACUGCAUCAAACACCUCCAGCCCCAAGACCAGGACUUCAUGUGCCCUGGGAUGACUACUGUAGGCUCUUACUGUGUCCAAGCACACCCGUCCCUAACGUCCCACUGCUCCUCACUCUGCCUCCAGGGACCUUUCUUGAACUGUGACCCUCCAACUGGUUGGUCUCUGCAUCUGGUCUCAGGGUUCCCCACUCCCCACAAUCUUCCUAGAAGAGAGCAAUCUCAGAACCCCCAGCCAUUCACUCAGGAAAUAGCUGUUAGUAAACCAAAGUCUGUCCCGUGUGCAGGAAACUGAAGAGCUAUGACAGGCAGUCUGCUGCUGUCUCAGAGCCGGCCUAACGAGGCACAGGCACUGGACAGGCACCCUCAGUAGUGUCUGAGGCCGGACAGGAAAGCUCUUCAAACCUGGGCUCCCCGGGUGCCUUCUCAAGGAGAUGAUCAUAAUGCAGAACUUUGAAGGAUGAGAAGGAAUAAACUAAAAAGACAUGGAGGGGGGAAGGGGGGGGGAAGAAAGGGGUAGGGAGAGGAGCAGAGUGUGGUGAGAGACAGUAGAAAGUAUAAGAUACGGGAGGAGUCAAACCCGCUCUGGCCAAGGACAAAGUCUGAGCAGGAAGCUGGAGAACUGGGAAUGGGCCAGGUCACGGGUGCAGGUAACUAUUGCUCUUCCACAGCCCCCCAUAAGCAGUGGGUGAGAGACCCCUGCACCACCCACAGGCCCCUGGGCUUCCCAUCAUGGCAGUUAUGCUAAGUCUGUGUGUCUGUCUCCUGUCUCUGUCUUCACACAGGACUGUCCACUCGGUGUGAACCCAGACCACGUCUUAACUCAUCAAUGUUCUCCAGUAAACAAUCCUGGGAAGUGCUUGGCAAACAUCUGAGACUGAGGAGUGACCCAAACAUGUCACGUCAGCACCACCAGACCCACCUUGAACUUGGACACCACGGUCAACACUGGGGUCCUGCUCUUGCCAGAAGGCUCCUCCUGGGACUUCUCUUCUGGGUCAGUAGGGAACAACACCUUGAGCAGGGGGUCCUGGGAUUGCUGCAGGAGCCUGGUCAGCUCAGGGGGCACAGGGUCCUAUUGGGAGAGGACGAGAGCAGUGGGUGAGGGCAGGUGGUGUGCUACUCAGGGCUGUCCACAGGCCUGCCAGCCUGCUCACCCAGGCCCCAGAGGAGGGAGUUCCAGGGCAGGACAGGCCCUGAGUCCGGGAGACAAGCUGGUCGCCUAUGAACCAGUAACCCAGUGUGACAUGGGUCAUUUCUGGGCAGGACGUGCCUGAUUAGCAGACCUCAGGCAGAUGGCCCAAGAGGUGACCUGGGUUCUGGGAAGAUAUUCAGGAGGGAGAUGCACCACAGGAAGCUGCGUGUAUGGGCAGCAAUGACUCAGCGUGCCGUUUACCCCGGUCCUCAGGGGCCGUGGCCCAGCCUCACCUUGUUCUUCUCCACCAGGCCUGCGGUGUGGUACCGCACAGGCCCCGCGUAAUGCACCACAAUGAAGCUGGGCUCCCGGCUGAGCUUGUCGCGGCCCAGGCAGGGGCUGCCUGCCAGGGCACUUUCAAUGCGUGUCUGGAGCUGGGCUGCACUGCUCGGCCGGUUAAGGCGGCAUUCCUGUGUGGGGCGGGAUAAACAGUCGGCCACAAAAGUGAGAGGGCUCCCCACACCCUCACAGUCUCCACCCCGUCGUCCCCACGGUAGCAGAGUUGUCACAUAGGCAGUACCGUGACCCUGAGUGAAGGAGUAUGGGAAUCAGGAAACCCAUUUGGCAGAUGGGGAGACAGAGGCACAGAAAGGCAUGGAUGAGUCUUCAAGGCAUCAGAAAAGCCCAAAGCCCACCUCUGCUGCUCAGCACACUACUGACACUCCCACCUCGUUUAGGAGGGAGCAGAUGCUGAUGGGGCUCCCCUCGAUGAGGUCCAAACAGGUCUGGUUGUCCUGGUAGUUGACAAAUGACCACUCCAGGCCCUCCAGUGCGUAUUCCUCCUAGAGGGCAAGGUGAGGGGGCAGGAGGCAGCUAAGGGCUGAGGCCCAGAAGGCCAUCCUAUGGCUGGCCUCAGCAACACCAGCUGUUCCAGCAUGGCAUCAAAGGAGGCAUUAAAGGCUAGGUCCUGGGGGCCAGGAAGAGAGAGGAUCCCCUACCCUGCCACACGCUCACCUGCUGAGCUCUUAGGUAGUGAGCCACAAAGUGCUGUUGCAGCUUCUCAUUGGCAUAGUUGAUGCACAGCUGUUCCAGACUGUUGUCAGGAAAUGACUCAAAGCCGUACACAUCCAGCAGGCCUGGGGGGGGGGGGGGAGCGGCAGGGAGGGCGCGGGUUAGGGGAGAACCCAUGGGGUCACUGCAGAGGCUCAGGGUGAAGCUUCAUCUGGGGAUGAGGCUGAGUGAGCAUGACACCCGCAGUGGGCAGAGCACCAUACCCCACCCCAGGGUGCCCAUCUGUACCUCAAGCCCCGUUAGAAUUCACAGCAGGAAGAAAGACUGAAUGUGUGUGGGGGCAACCCAGGGCACCAGGGUGAGCUUGUCGUGGCUGAAGCCUUAGGUCCUGGUCAGCCCCUUCUUGAGGGCACCAGGUCCCAGGGAACGUUUUCUGCAUCCAGCCCAGUUUGGAGGGGCUGGGCCUCACUAGCCCAGUUGGUGUCCAGAAUUCCACAUUCUGUGAACAAACUCACGGGUGCCUCUGAGCUUUACUGCCUCCCCAACCUGAUAUUCUCUACCCAGGUUCCAACACGGUUAUCUUUCACUCAUCCCACUACGCUCACAGACAAGCGCCAUCUGAGUCUGCCUGGUGAGCUUGGGACGAGUCAGAUGUGAGCCGGUGAGUACAGAGAUGUCCUUGCCCAAACGCUGGUGGGCAGAUGAGGAGAGGGGGAGGCAGGAGAAGGAAAGGAGCUACCAGAGUUAGCACAGUGGGCCCGGAGCGGCCCUGGUCCUUUUUAGAAGGGGGGUUCCUGGCGGGGGCCCAUGCUACCUAUGAAAGUGGUCCAGGAGUCGGGGGCCGCAUAGAUGCUGCUGUUGAUCACCGAUACCAGCCAGUCGAACAGCCUAUUGGGGUUGGGGAAGAGGAGACUCUGGUGAGAGAGGGUCAAGAUGAGUUUGAGGGGUGACAGAGCUGCUCCUCCAGCCAGGGUGCCACACCCAGGAGGGCCAAGCUGCCAUAAACACAUGCACACGCACAUAUACGUGUUCCGUCCACUAAUUUCAAAGGUGCCACUUGACACCCUUACAUGGCAUCAUGAAGGUUCUCAGAACCCAGGGUGAGAAAGCACCCAUAACCACAUGGCCAGAGGGUGGACAUGCCCAUAUAACCCACUAAGAAAGGCCAAGACCUCACCCUUCCCUGUUCUGGGCUCCCCUUGCUGCUUGCUGGGUUGCCCUGCACUUUGGUCUGAGGUUCUGGCUCUACCAUCAUCUAUCAUAUUCCCCAGGUGCCUACAAAGAGCUGAAACACAAGGACACAUGGGUCUGCACCUGGAACUCUGAGGACCCCAGAUCACCAUGGCGGCCUGCAUUGCCAGCGGAGAGGUAGGCAGGCUCUCCUCACCAAUCACCAAAGCUGUGCCAAUUUCCCCAUGCAGAGCACCCUGAAUGAGGCCGAGGGCCUUGCUUGGGGGAGUCCCAGGAGCGACUCCCUGCUGUCCCCAAGGCUCUGGGGAGCAGGGACGGGAACUAUCUGCUGUGUCUGGCAGCCCUCACCCUGGGCCUGGGGCUGUUGCAUGGCAGUGUCUGGUUCAACUCCAAAGAGGGGAGAACCUGGAGGCAGCAGGGGCCCAGAGUGCUCACCGUGCGUAGAUCAGUUUGGCCAGACAGUCUCUGCGGGUGUCGCACUCGGCGAGGGAGCAGGGCUUCCGGAACACCUGCUGCUGCCUGCCCGCCCUGAUGGUCCUGAUGCGCAGCGUCUCCAGCAGCGGGUCCUCUGGGAGCCAGAGCAGCGAGGCCGAUGUUCUGACAGAGCCUGAGAGGGACAAACCUUCCGUCCACACAGCCCCCUUCACAAGGCAGUGAAGUCACCCACCCAGAUGAACGCAGCAGCCUUGCUGCUAGGCGGAGAGACCUGCCGAAGGCAGAGGCAGGACAUGAACCCAGGUCUUCCGUGUCCCAGUCCACAUUGCCACGUGUGGGACAAAUUAUAAACCCUCCUACUCUUGUUUGCUCCUGUGUAAAAUGGGGACAAUGCUGCCUGCUUCAGAGAUGGGGUAAGGAGUAACUUAUCCAAGGCAGGACGCUACAGCUGAUGUUUAAUCAAGGGCAUCGAUUCCAAAUUUCACCUUCUGGCCUCCUACCCAAUCCCACCGGUGCUGGCUCUUUUCUGGGCAGGACCAGCCCUGCUCCCUGGGUCUGUGACCAAAGCCUGAGGCACAGCCCCUGCUACCCUUGCUCUCACCCCUGGCAUCGUCCAUCAGCUGGCAGGGCUGGGCUUCAUCCUCACAGUCAGCAAACCGGACGUUGCCGAGGUGCAGCAGUCCAGCCAGGACCUGAGGGGCAGGAGAAAGGAGACACGCAGGGGGCACCUUGUAAGGGCUGGAGUCCAGCCUGGAAGGCUUCUCUUCCGCUAAAUAUAAUCACAACAGAAGAAGAAUAGCAGCUCCCAGCUACUGCCCAUUUGCUGCAGGACUCUGAGAGACGUUACAUGCAUCAUCUUGGUUAAUCUUUUUUUUUUU
This is a long non-coding RNA of Pipistrellus kuhlii (Kuhl's pipistrelle), 8237 nucleotides long. RefSeq lists it as uncharacterized. The transcript is spliced from 2 exons. The record is from RefSeq and is a predicted model, not a curated record. Lineage: Eukaryota; Metazoa; Chordata; Mammalia; Chiroptera; Vespertilionidae.